Molecule: transfer RNA, 72 nt
Filed under: Ovis aries (sheep)
Lineage: Eukaryota; Metazoa; Chordata; Mammalia; Artiodactyla; Bovidae
Rfam family: tRNA
About the family: Transfer RNA (tRNA) molecules are approximately 80 nucleotides in length. Their secondary structure includes four short double-helical elements and three loops (D, anti-codon, and T loops).
Source: Rfam by way of RNAcentral
UCCCUGGUGGUUCAAAGGGUAAAGCGUCUGCCUGCAAUGCGGGAGACCCGGGUUCGAUUCCUGGGUCGGGAA